GGAGUCGGCCAGGCAGCCGCCCGGCCGCGUGCCGGGAGGAAAGUCCGGGCUCCAGCGUGACAGGGUGCCAGGUAACGCCUGGGGGGCGCGAGCCCACGGAAAGUGCCACAGAAAAUAUACCGCCGGCCCCGGCCGGUAAGGGUGAAAUGGUGCGGUAAGAGCGCACCGCGCGGGUGGUAACACGCCGCGGCACGGCAAACCCCACCCGGAGCAAGACCAAAUAGGGGAGCAGCGCGGGCUUCGGUCCGCGCACCGGCGUCCGCCCGGGCUCCCGGGUAGGUCGCAUGAGGCCGCCGGUGACGGCGGUCCCAGAUGAAUGGUUGCCCUCGACAGAACCCGGCUUAUCGGCCGACUCCUUUU
RNAcentral lists this RNase P RNA (360 nucleotides) under Chromatiales bacterium. RNAcentral describes it as "RNase P RNA component class A". It matches the Rfam family "Bacterial RNase P class A". Rfam says of the family: Ribonuclease P (RNase P) is a ubiquitous endoribonuclease, found in archaea, bacteria and eukarya as well as chloroplasts and mitochondria. Its best characterised activity is the generation of mature 5'-ends of tRNAs by cleaving the 5'-leader elements of precursor-tRNAs. Lineage: Bacteria; Pseudomonadati; Pseudomonadota; Gammaproteobacteria; Chromatiales. The record is from RNAcentral.